GAUGAACGCUGGCGGCGUGCCUAAUACAUGCAAGUCGAGCGAACGGACGAGAAGCUUGCUUUUCUGAUGUUAGCGGCGGACGGGUGAGUAACACGUGGAUAACCUACCUAUAAGACUGGGAUAACUUCGGGAAACCGGAGCUAAUACCGGAUAAUAUUUUGAACCGCAUGGUUCAAAAGUGAAAGACGGUCUUGCUGUCACUUAUAGAUGGAUCCGCGCUGCAUUAGCUAGUUGGUAAGGUAACGGCUUACCAAGGCAACGAUGCAUAGCCGACCUGAGAGGGGGUACGGGCACACUGGAACUGAGACACGGUACAGACACCUACGGGAGGCAGCAGUAGGGACUCUUCCGCAAUGGGCGAAAGCCUGACGGAGCAGCGCCGCGUGAGUGAUGAAGGGCUUCGGAUCGUAAUACUCUGUUAUUAGGGAAGAACAUAUGUGUAAGUAACUGUGCACAUCUUGACGGUACCUAAUAAGAAAGCCACGGCUAACUACGUG
Molecule: ribosomal RNA, 497 nt
Filed under: uncultured bacterium
Lineage: Bacteria
Description: partial 16S ribosomal RNA
Rfam family: Bacterial small subunit ribosomal RNA
Source: RNAcentral